Molecule: ribosomal RNA, 373 nt
Filed under: Cryptosporidium serpentis
Lineage: Eukaryota; Apicomplexa; Conoidasida; Eucoccidiorida; Cryptosporidiidae
Description: bacterial SSU rRNA
Rfam family: Eukaryotic small subunit ribosomal RNA
Source: RNAcentral
UUGUAUUUUUAUAAUAUUAUUAAGGUAAUAUUUAUAAUAUCAACAUCCUUCCUAUUAUAUUUUUAAUAUAUAGGAGAUUUUACUUUGAGAAAAUUAGAGUGCUUAAAGCAGGCAACUGCCUUGAAUACUCCAGCAUGGAAUAAUAAGUAAGGACUUUUGUCUUUCUUGUUGGUUCUAGGAUAAAAGUAAUGGUUAAUAGGGACAGUUGGGGGCAUUCGUAUUUAACAGUCAGAGGUGAAAUUCUUAGAUUUGUUAAAGACGAACUACUGCGAAAGCAUUUGCCAAGGAUGUUUUCAUUAAUCAAGAACGAAAGUUAGGGGAUCGAAGACGAUCAGAUACCGUCGUAGUCUUAACCAUAAACUAUGCCGACUAG